CCUACGGGCGGCAGCAGUGAGGAAUAUUGGUCAAUGGCCGGAAGGCUGAACCAGCCAUGCCGCGUGAAGGUCAGUGCCCUAUGGGCGUUAAACUUCUUUUGUGCGGGAGCAAUAAUGGUCAAGUGUGGCCAGACGAGAGUACCGUACGAAUAAGCAUCGGCUAACUCAGUGCCAGCAGCCGCGGUAAUACGGGGGAUGCAAGCGUUAUACGGAUUUAUUGGGGUUAAAGGGUGCGUAGGCUGUGAGGUAAGUCAGCGGUGAAAUGCCCCCGCUCAACGGGGUGAAGUGCCAUUGAUACUGCCUUGCUGGAAUGCGGAUGCCGUGGGAGGAAUGUGUGGUGUAGCGGUGAAAUGCAUAGAUAUCACACAGAACACCGAUUGCGAAGGCAUCUCACGAAUCCGCGAUUGACGCUGAUGCACGAAAGCGUGGGUAUCAAACAGGAUUAGAUACCCUAGUAGUC
Molecule: ribosomal RNA, 460 nt
Filed under: uncultured bacterium
Lineage: Bacteria
Description: partial 16S ribosomal RNA
Rfam family: Bacterial small subunit ribosomal RNA
Source: RNAcentral